RNAcentral lists this ribosomal RNA (433 nucleotides) under uncultured bacterium. Its description in RNAcentral is "partial 16S ribosomal RNA". It matches the Rfam family "Bacterial small subunit ribosomal RNA", at positions 29 to 507 of the family's 1533-position model. The record is from RNAcentral.
AACGAACGCUGGCGGCAUGCCUAACACAUGCAAGUCGAACGAGACCUUCGGGUCUAGUGGCGCACGGGUGCGUAACGCGUGGGAACCUGCCCUUAGGUUCGGAAUAACUCCCCGAAAGGGGUGCUAAUACCGGAUAAUGUCUUCGGACCAAAGAUUUAUCGCCUUUGGAUGGGCCCGCGUUGGAUUAGCUAGUUGAUAGGGUAAAAGCCUACCAAGGCGACGAUCCAUAGCUGGUCUGAGAGGAUGAUCAGCCACACUGGGACUGAGACACGGCCCAGACUCCUACGGGAGGCAGCAGUGGGGAAUAUUGGACAAUGGGCGAAAGCCUGAUCCAGCAAUGCCGCGUGAGUGAUGAAGGCCUUAGGGUUGUAAAGCUCUUUUACCCGGGAUGAUAAUGACAGUACCGGGAGAAUAAGCGCCGGCUAACUCCGUG